Molecule: ribosomal RNA, 253 nt
Filed under: uncultured bacterium
Lineage: Bacteria
Description: partial 16S ribosomal RNA
Rfam family: Bacterial small subunit ribosomal RNA
Source: RNAcentral
UACGAAGGGGGCUAGCGUUGUUCGGAAUCACUGGGCGUAAAGCGCACGCAGGCGGAUUGAUAAGUCAGGGGUGAAAUCCCGGGGCUCAACCUCGGAACUGCCCUUGAAACUGCAGUGCUAGAAUCUUGGAGAGGCGAGUGGAAUUCCGAGUGUAGAGGUGAAAUUCGUAGAUAUUCGGAAGAACACCAGUGGCGAAGGCGACCCGCUGGACAAGUAUUGACGCUGAGGUGCGAAAGCGUGGGGAGCAAACAGG